This 268-nucleotide unclassified non-coding RNA is filed under the name uncultured fungus. Its description in RNAcentral is "sequence contains ITS2". Lineage: Eukaryota; Fungi. The record is from RNAcentral.
AACGCACAUUGCGCCCGCUGGCACUCCAGCGGGCAUGCCUGUCCGAGCGUCAUACGCACCCCUCAGGCCCCAUCGGGGCCUGGCGUUGGAGCGCAUCCCACGGGAUGGCUCUGAAAUGCAGUGGCGGACCACCUGGGCGACCCGGGCGUAGUAUCAUACGCCGCCCUGGGACGAACGGGAGGUCCUGCCGUAAAGACCGCCGAGGGCCCUAGGGCCCGGAGCACUUAGCACUGGCCUCGGAUCAGGUAGGGAUACCCGCUGAACUUAA